Molecule: non-coding RNA, 212 nt
Organism: Paramuricea clavata
Lineage: Eukaryota; Metazoa; Cnidaria; Anthozoa; Malacalcyonacea; Plexauridae
Source: the annotation of a GenBank genome assembly
CGGAUAUAAAGUGAAAGUUAUAUCAGCGGUGAUCGGCUGUUUAGGAGAAGGGAUGAAAAGACUGAAAGAUGAUAUAAGAGAGUUGUUUAACAACGAGAAAGAUUUACACUGGAUAAGUAGAGAAAUGCAAAAGACUGUAUUAUGGGAAAGCGAGACAAUUAUGAGAAAAAUAUUAUCUGGACUGUUGACAUGAGGUGUCUUCGGACAAUAGC